This 387-nucleotide ribosomal RNA is filed under the name uncultured bacterium. Its description in RNAcentral is "bacterial SSU rRNA". It matches the Rfam family "Bacterial small subunit ribosomal RNA", at positions 28 to 417 of the family's 1533-position model. The record is from RNAcentral.
GACGAACGCUGGCGGCGUGCUUAACACAUGCAAGUCGAGCGGUAAGGCCCUUUCGGGGGUACGACGAGCGGCGAACGGGUGAGUAACACGUGGGUGACCUGCCUUCAGCUCUGGGAUAAGCCUGGGAAACUGGGUCUAAUACCGGAUAUGACUCCAUGAUGCAUGUUGUGGGGUGGAAAGCUUUUGCGGCUGGAGAUGGGCCCGCGGCCUAUCAGCUUGUUGGUGGGGUGAGGCCUACCAAGGCGACGACGGGUAGCCGGCCUGAGAGGGCGACCGGCCACACUGGGACUGAGACACGGCCCAGACUCCUACGGGAGGCAGCAGUGGGGAAUCUUGCGCAAUGGGCGAAAGCCUGACGCAGCGACGCCGCGUGAGGGAUGACGGCCU